GGGUUGUGAGGUUAAGCGACUAAGCGUACACGGUGGAUGCCCUGGCAGUCAGAGGCGAUGAAGGACGUGCUAAUCUGCGAUAAGCGUCGGUAAGGUGAUAUGAACCGUUAUAACCGGCGAUUUCCGAAUGGGGAAACCCAGUGUGUUUCGACACACUAUCAUUACGUGAAUACAUAGCGUAAUGAAGCGAACCGGGGGAACUGAAACAUCUAAGUACCCCGAGGAAAAGAAAUCAACCGAGAUUCCCCCAGUAGCGGCGAGCGAACGGGGAGCAGCCCAGAGUCUGAAUCAGCUUGUGUGUUAGUGGAACGGUCUGGAAAGUCCGACGGUACAGGGUGAUAGUCCCGUACACCAAAAUGCACAGGUUGUGAACUCGAAGAGUAGGGCGGGACACGUGGUAUCCUGUCUGAAUAUGGGGGGACCAUCCUCCAAGGCUAAAUACUCCUGACUGACCGAUAGUGAACCAGUACCGUGAGGGAAAGGCGAAAAGAACCCCGGCGAGGGGAGUGAAAAAGAACCUGAAACCGUGUACGUACAAGCAGUGGGAGCCUCUUUAUGGGGUGACUGCGUACCUUUUGUAUAAUGGGUCAGCGACUUAUAUUCUGUAGCAAGGUUAACCGUAUAGGGGAGCCGAAGGGAAACCGAGUCUUAACUGGGCGUUAAGUUGCAGGGUAUAGACCCGAAACCCGGUGAUCUAGCCAUGGGCAGGUUGAAGGUUGGGUAACACUAACUGGAGGACCGAACCGACUAAUGUUGAAAAAUUAGCGGAUGACUUGUGGCUGGGGGUGAAAGGCCAAUCAAACCGGGAGAUAGCUGGUUCUCCCCGAAAGCUAUUUAGGUAGCGCCUCGUGAAUUCAUCUUCGGGGGUAGAGCACUGUUUCGGCUAGGGGGUCAUCCCGACUUACCAACCCGAUGCAAACUGCGAAUACCGAAGAAUGUUAUCACGGGAGACACACGGCGGGUGCUAACGUCCGUCGUGAAGAGGGAAACAACCCAGACCGCCAGCUAAGGUCCCAAAGUCAUGGUUAAGUGGGAAACGAUGUGGGAAGGCACAGACAGCCAGGAUGUUGGCUUAGAAGCAGCCAUCAUUUAAAGAAAGCGUAAUAGCUCACUGGUCGAGUCGGCCUGCGCGGAAGAUGUAACGGGGCUAAACCAUGCACCGAAGCUGCGGCAGCGACACUAUGUGUUGUUGGGUAGGGGAGCGUUCUGUAAGCCGUUGAAGGUGUGCUGUGAGGCAUGCUGGAGGUAUCAGAAGUGCGAAUGCUGACAUAAGUAACGAUAAUGCGGGUGAAAAACCCGCACGCCGGAAGACCAAGGGUUCCUGUCCAACGUUAAUCGGGGCAGGGUGAGUCGACCCCUAAGGCGAGGCCGAAAGGCGUAGUCGAUGGGAAACAGGUUAAUAUUCCUGUACUUGGUGUUACUGCGAAGGGGGGACGGAGAAGGCUAUGUUAGCCGGGCGACGGUUGUCCCGGUUUAAGCAUGUAGGCGGAGGUUCCAGGUAAAUCCGGUACCUUUUAACGCUGAGGUGUGAUGACGAGGCACUACGGUGCUGAAGUAACAAAUGCCCUGCUUCCAGGAAAAGCCUCUAAGCAUCAGGUAACACGAAAUCGUACCCCAAACCGACACAGGUGGUCAGGUAGAGAAUACCAAGGCGCUUGAGAGAACUCGGGUGAAGGAACUAGGCAAAAUGGUGCCGUAACUUCGGGAGAAGGCACGCUGAUAUGUAGGUGAAGUGAUUUACUCAUGGAGCUGAAAUCAGUCGAAGAUACCAGCUGGCUGCAACUGUUUAUUAAAAACACAGCACUGUGCAAACACGAAAGUGGACGUAUACGGUGUGACGCCUGCCCGGUGCCGGAAGGUUAAUUGAUGGGGUUAUCCGUAAGGAGAAGCUCUUGAUCGAAGCCCCGGUAAACGGCGGCCGUAACUAUAACGGUCCUAAGGUAGCGAAAUUCCUUGUCGGGUAAGUUCCGACCUGCACGAAUGGCGUAAUGAUGGCCAGGCUGUCUCCACCCGAGACUCAGUGAAAUUGAACUCGCUGUGAAGAUGCAGUGUACCCGCGGCAAGACGGAAAGACCCCGUGAACCUUUACUAUAGCUUGACACUGAACACUGGUCCUUGAUGUGUAGGAUAGGUGGGAGGCUUUGAAGUGUGGACGCCAGUCUGCAUGGAGCCAUCCUUGAAAUACCACCCUUUAAUGGCUGGUGUUCUAACGUGGACCCGUUACCCGGGUUGCGGACAGUGUCUGGUGGGUAGUUUGACUGGGGCGGUCUCCUCCUAAAGAGUAACGGAGGAGCACGAAGGUUAGCUAAUCCUGGUCGGACAUCAGGAGGUUAGUGCAAAGGCAUAAGCUAGCUUGACUGCGAGAGUGACGGCUCGAGCAGGUGCGAAAGCAGGUCUUAGUGAUCCGGUGGUUCUGAAUGGAAGGGCCAUCGCUCAACGGAUAAAAGGUACUCCGGGGAUAACAGGCUGAUACCGCCCAAGAGUUCAUAUCGACGGCGGUGUUUGGCACCUCGAUGUCGGCUCAUCACAUCCUGGGGCUGAAGUAGGUCCCAAGGGUAUGGCUGUUCGCCAUUUAAAGUGGUACGCGAGCUGGGUUUAGAACGUCGUGAGACAGUUCGGUCCCUAUCUGCCGUGGGCGCUGGAGAAUUGAGGGGGGCUGCUCCUAGUACGAGAGGACCGGAGUGGACGCAUCACUGGUGUUCGGGUUGUCAUGCCAAUGGCAUUGCCCGGUAGCUAAAUGCGGAAGAGAUAAGUGCUGAAAGCAUCUAAGCACGAAACUUGCCCCGAGAUGAGUUCUCCCUGAGACUUUAAGUCUCCUGAAGGAACGUUAAAGACUAUGACGUUGAUAGGUCGGGUGUGUAAGUGUAGCGAUACAUUGAGCUAACCGAUACUAAUGAACCGUGAGGCUUAACCUUACAACGCCGAAG
RNAcentral lists this ribosomal RNA (2927 nucleotides) under Citrobacter freundii. RNAcentral describes it as "23S ribosomal RNA". It matches the Rfam family "Bacterial large subunit ribosomal RNA". Lineage: Bacteria; Pseudomonadati; Pseudomonadota; Gammaproteobacteria; Enterobacterales; Enterobacteriaceae. The record is from RNAcentral.